RNAcentral lists this ribosomal RNA (838 nucleotides) under uncultured bacterium. RNAcentral's name for it is "bacterial SSU rRNA". It matches the Rfam family "Bacterial small subunit ribosomal RNA", at positions 60 to 882 of the family's 1533-position model. The record is from RNAcentral.
AGUCGAACGAAAAUUUACGCUUAAAGAGUUGAUUAGUUUACUAAGAGAUGAUUUAUUGUAAAUUUUAGUGGCGGACUGGUGAGUAAUACAUAGGUAAUCUGCCUUUUAGAGGGGAAUAACUAGGAGAAAUCCUAGCUAAUACCGCGUAAGACCACACUUAGGCAUCUAAGAGAGGUCAAAGGAGUAAUCCGCUAAAAGAUGAGCCUGUGGCUGAUUAGUUAGUUGGUGGGGUAAGAGCCUACCAAGACGAUGAUCAGUAGCCGAGCUGAGAGGCUGGCCGGCCACAUUGGGACUGAGAUACGGCCCAGACUCCUACGGGAGGCAGCAGUUGGGAAUAUUGGACAAUGGAGGAAACUCUGAUCCAGUGACGCCGCGUGAAGGAAGAAGGUCUUCGGAUUGUAAACUUAUUUUAUCAGGGAAGAAGAAAGUGACAGUACCUGAAGAAAAAGGACCGGCAAACUACGUGCCAGCAGCCGCGGUAAUACGUAGGGUCCAAGCGUUAUCCGGAUUUACUGGGUGUAAAGGGCGAGUAGACGGCGCUGUAAGUCAGCUGUGAAAACUUAGGGCUCAACCUUAAGCCUGCAGCUGAAACUGUGGUGCUAGAGUGCAGGAGAGGUAAGCGGAAUUCCUAGUGUAGCGGUGAAAUGCGUAGUUAUUAGGAGGAACACCAGUGGCGAAGGCGGCUUACUGGACUGUAACUGACGUUGAGGCGCGAAAGUGUGGGGAGCAAACAGGAUUAGAUACCCUGGUAGUCCACACCGUAAACGAUGGAUACUAGGUGUAGGCGAGAUAUCGUCUGUGCCGGCGCAAACGCAAUAAGUAUCCCACCUGGGGAGUA